Molecule: ribosomal RNA, 117 nt
Filed under: Peptostreptococcus porci
Lineage: Bacteria; Bacillati; Bacillota; Clostridia; Peptostreptococcales; Peptostreptococcaceae
Source: RNAcentral
UGUGGUUAUUAUAGCGAGGAGGAUACACCUGUUCCCAUUCCGAACACAGAAGUUAAGCUCCUUAGUGCUGAAGGUACUUGGUGGGAAGCUGCCUGGGAGAAUAGGACAUAGCCACGU